Molecule: ribosomal RNA, 301 nt
Filed under: uncultured bacterium
Lineage: Bacteria
Description: partial 16S ribosomal RNA
Rfam family: Bacterial small subunit ribosomal RNA
Source: RNAcentral
CAGUCGCCGCGGUAAUACGAAGGGGGCUAGCGUUGCUCGGAAUUACUGGGCGUAAAGGGAGCGUAGGCGGAUCGUUUAGUCAGGGGUGAAAUCCCGGGGCUCAACCUCGGAACUGCCUUUGAUACUGGCGAUCUUGAGUACGGGAGAGGUGUGUGGAACUCCGAGUGUAGAGGUGAAAUUCGUAGAUAUUCGGAAGAACACCAGUGGCGAAGGCGACACACUGGCCCAUUACUGACGCUGAGGCUCGAAAGCGUGGGGAGCAAACAGGAUUAGAUACCCCCGUAGUCCCUGUCUCUUAUAC